UUGCAUAUCCAAUCCCUCUUUUUAGGUUGUAAUAGUAUUUACUUACUGUUUUUUAUUAUUCUAAUAAUAACCCAGGGGCAAAUAUUAUUAAAGAUUAAAAAAACUGGAUUGAGUAAUUUCUAUUUAAAUUUUUAAAUUUUUAAUUUUAUUAGAAAUUCGUUUACAGGUGUUGCAUGGCUGUCGUCAAAA
RNAcentral lists this ribosomal RNA (189 nucleotides) under Cyclocybe aegerita. RNAcentral describes it as "partial small subunit ribosomal RNA". The record is from RNAcentral. Lineage: Eukaryota; Fungi; Basidiomycota; Agaricomycetes; Agaricales; Hemipholiotaceae.